CCUCAAAAUGAUUGAUCCACUUGGCAUGUAUAAUGCCAAUGGCCAGUCAAUUACCACCUAGUUGUGCUCAAGUUCAUACUCGUCUUAAUCAAAAAGAUGUAGAGAUAUUGAUGGCUGGAGAAAUGAACCAUGUAACCCCGAUAGUCGCCGCCCAUUAAGCUUCGAGAUAAUUUGUGAGAGGCUAGAUAAAAACCAUGCUAGCUUCCUUUAAUUAUGCGAUAGACAGCCAACCCUAGCC
This 238-nucleotide long non-coding RNA is filed under the name Elaeis guineensis (African oil palm). Its description in RNAcentral is "long non-coding RNA (EGUI_LNC006132)". The record is from RNAcentral. Lineage: Eukaryota; Viridiplantae; Streptophyta; Magnoliopsida; Arecales; Arecaceae.